Molecule: ribosomal RNA, 501 nt
Filed under: uncultured Proteus sp.
Lineage: Bacteria; Pseudomonadati; Pseudomonadota; Gammaproteobacteria; Enterobacterales; Morganellaceae
Description: bacterial SSU rRNA
Rfam family: Bacterial small subunit ribosomal RNA
Source: RNAcentral
AGUGGGGAAUAUUGCACAAUGGGCGCAAGCCUGAUGCAGCCAUGCCGCGUGUAUGAAGAAGGCCUUAGGGUUGUAAAGUACUUUCAGCGGGGAGGAAGGUGAUAAGGUUAAUACCCUUAUCAAUUGACGUUACCCGCAGAAGAAGCACCGGCUAACUCCGUGCCAGCAGCCGCGGUAAUGCGGAGGGUGCAAGCGUUAAUCGGAAUUACUGGGCGUAAAGCGCACGCAGGCGGUCAAUUAAGUCAGAUGUGAAAGCCCCGAGCUUAACUUGGGAAUUGCAUCUGAAACUGGUUGGCUAGAGUCUUGUAGAGGGGGGUAGAAUUCCAUGUGUAGCGGUGAAAUGCGUAGAGAUGUGGAGGAAUACCGGUGGCGAAGGCGGCCCCCUGGACAAAGACUGACGCUCAGGUGCGAAAGCGUGGGGAGCAAACAGGAUUAGAUACCCUGGUAGUCCACGCUGUAAACGAUGUCGAUUUAGAGGUUGUGGUCUUGAACCGUGGCUUC